Molecule: ribosomal RNA, 464 nt
Filed under: uncultured bacterium
Lineage: Bacteria
Description: partial 16S ribosomal RNA
Rfam family: Bacterial small subunit ribosomal RNA
Source: RNAcentral
CUACGGGCUGCACCAGCGGGGAAUAUUGCACAAUGGGCGCAAGCCUGAUGCAGCCGUGCCGCGUGUAUGAAGAAGGCCUUCGGGUUGUAAAGUACUUUCAGCGGGGAGGAAGGGAGUAAAGUUAAUACCUUUGCUCAUUGACGUUACCCGCAGAAGAAGCACCGGCUAACUCCGUGCCAGCAGCCGCGGUAAUACGGAGGGUGCAAGCGUUAAUCGGAAUUACUGGGCGUAAAGCGCACGCAGGCGAUUUGUUAAGUCAGAUGUGAAAUCCCCGGGCUCAACCUGGGAACUGCAUCUGAUACUGGCAAGCUUGAGUCUCGUAGAGGGGGGUAGAAUUCCAGGUGUAGCGGUGAAAUGCGUAGAGAUCUGGAGGAAUACCGGUGGCGAAGGCGGCCCCCUGGACGAAGACUGACGCUCAGGUGCGAAAGCGUGGGGAGCAAACAGGAUUAGAUACCCCUGUAGUC